AUAGCAAUAAUCACUACUCUAUAAGACCUACCAAAUAAUUUAAUACGCGAUCAUUUCUCUUAUAUGGAUAUAUGCAAUGACAGAAGAUCUAAAAGUAUUGACUUAAAUGAUACUUUCAUUUUUGCUUUCUUUUUA
Molecule: small RNA, 135 nt
Filed under: Arabidopsis thaliana (thale cress)
Lineage: Eukaryota; Viridiplantae; Streptophyta; Magnoliopsida; Brassicales; Brassicaceae
Description: ATSL289000
Source: RNAcentral